UACGUAGGGUGCAAGCGUUGUCCGGAAUUAUUGGGCGUAAAGAGCUCGUAGGCGGUCUGUCGCGUCUGCUGUGAAAACUCGGGGCUUAACCCCGGGCCUGCAGUGGGUACGGGCAGACUAGAGUGCGGUAGGGGAGACUGGAAUUCCUGGUGUAGCGGUGAAAUGCGCAGAUAUCAGGAGGAACACCGGUGGCGAAGGCGGGUUUCUGGGCCGUAACUGACGCUGAGGAGCGAAAGCAUGGGGAGCGAACAGG
Molecule: ribosomal RNA, 253 nt
Filed under: uncultured bacterium
Lineage: Bacteria
Description: partial 16S ribosomal RNA
Rfam family: Bacterial small subunit ribosomal RNA
Source: RNAcentral